This 1158-nucleotide ribosomal RNA is filed under the name Escherichia coli. Its description in RNAcentral is "partial 23S ribosomal RNA". It matches the Rfam family "Bacterial large subunit ribosomal RNA", at positions 1 to 1191 of the family's 2925-position model. The record is from RNAcentral. Lineage: Bacteria; Pseudomonadati; Pseudomonadota; Gammaproteobacteria; Enterobacterales; Enterobacteriaceae.
GGGUUGUGAGGUUAAGCGACUAAGCGUACACGGUGGAUGCCCUGGCAGUCAGAGGCGAUGAAGGACGUGCUAAUCUGCGAUAAGCGUCGGUAAGGUGAUAUGAACCGUUAUAACCGGCGAUUUCCGAAUGGGGAAACCCAGUGUGAUUCGUCACACUAUCAUUAACUGAAUCCAUAGGUUAAUGAGGCGAACCGGGGGAACUGAAACAUCUAAGUACCCCGAGGAAAAGAAAUCAACCGAGAUUCCCCCAGUAGCGGCGAGCGAACGGGGAGCAGCCCAGAGCCUGAAUCAGUGUGUGUGUUAGUGGAAGCGUCUGGAAAGGCGCGCGAUACAGGGUGACAGCCCCGUACACAAAAAUGCACAUGCUGUGAGCUCGAUGAGUAGGGCGGGACACGUGGUAUCCUGUCUGAAUAUGGGGGGACCAUCCUCCAAGGCUAAAUACUCCUGACUGACCGAUAGUGAACCAGUACCGUGAGGGAAAGGCGAAAAGAACCCCGGCGAGGGGAGUGAAAAAGAACCUGAAACCGUGUACGUACAAGCAGUGGGAGCACGCUUAGGCGUGUGACUGCGUACCUUUUGUAUAAUGGGUCAGCGACUUAUAUUCUGUAGCAAGGUUAACCGAAUAGGGGAGCCGAAGGGAAACCGAGUCUUAACUGGGCGUUAAGUUGCAGGGUAUAGACCCGAAACCCGGUGAUCUAGCCAUGGGCAGGUUGAAGGUUGGGUAACACUAACUGGAGGACCGAACCGACUAAUGUUGAAAAAUUAGCGGAUGACUUGUGGCUGGGGGUGAAAGGCCAAUCAAACCGGGAGAUAGCUGGUUCUCCCCGAAAGCUAUUUAGGUAGCGCCUCGUGAAUUCAUCUCCGGGGGUAGAGCACUGUUUCGGCAAGGGGGUCAUCCCGACUUACCAACCCGAUGCAAACUGCGAAUACCGGAGAAUGUUAUCACGGGAGACACACGGCGGGUGCUAACGUCCGUCGUGAAGAGGGAAACAACCCAGACCGCCAGCUAAGGUCCCAAAGUCAUGGUUAAGUGGGAAACGAUGUGGGAAGGCCCAGACAGCCAGGAUGUUGGCUUAGAAGCAGCCAUCAUUUAAAGAAAGCGUAAUAGCUCACUGGUCGAGUCGGCCUGCGCGGAAGAUGUAACGGGGCUAAACCAUG